UUCCUGGUGGCUCAGACAGUGAGGAAUCUGCCUGCAAUGCAGGAGACCCAGGUUCAACCUCUGGUCAGGAAG
RNAcentral lists this transfer RNA (72 nucleotides) under Bos taurus (domestic cattle). It matches the Rfam family "tRNA". From Rfam's summary of the family: Transfer RNA (tRNA) molecules are approximately 80 nucleotides in length. Their secondary structure includes four short double-helical elements and three loops (D, anti-codon, and T loops). The record is from Rfam by way of RNAcentral. Lineage: Eukaryota; Metazoa; Chordata; Mammalia; Artiodactyla; Bovidae. RNAcentral also lists the same sequence under 2 other names.